Molecule: ribosomal RNA, 305 nt
Filed under: uncultured bacterium
Lineage: Bacteria
Description: bacterial SSU rRNA
Rfam family: Bacterial small subunit ribosomal RNA
Source: RNAcentral
GCCUACGGGGCGCAGCAGUGGGGGAUAUUGCACAAUGGGGGGAACCCUGAUGCAGCGACGCCGCGUGGGUGAAGAAGCGCCUCUGCGCGUAAAGCCCCGUCAGCAGGGAAGAAAAUGACGGUACCUGAAGAAGAAGCCCCGGCUAACUACGUGCCAGCAGCCGCGGUAAUACGUAGGGGGCAAGCGUUAUCCGGAUUUACUGGGUGUAAAGGGGGCGCAGACGGCGAUGCAAGCCAGGAGUGAAAGCCCGGGGCCCAACCCCGGGACUGCUCUUGGAACUGCGUGCCUGGAGUGCCGGAGGGGCG